AUGGUUCCAACAAUCCAGAUGGCCUUUGAUGUUCAGCCUUCACUUGUUGACAAGUCAUGCACCUCCUGACAAAAAGACCUAUGCACGUUUCAUAUUUCUCCACCAAAACAUGCUCCUUAGAUCACGAUACAUUUUUGUACCUCCUGGAUGGGCAGUAUAUGGAGUUAAGUGUGCUUCUUCAAGAAUUUCUUUCCUCAAUCCCUCGUCUUUAGGCACACACAACCUUCCCUUAAAAAGUAAGGCUUUAUCACUACCUAAUUCAAAAUCCUUUCGCUUGCUAGUACCAACUUCGGAUUUGAUCUUUUGCAGGAAAGAGUCACCAUCCUGUGCUACUCUUAUUCGAUCUCUAAGUGUUGGUCGAAUCGUUAGAGCCGCUAUUCUGGUGAUAGUUUAGGUUGGUGGAACAAUUACUAGAAGUAAGUUGUCGAAAUCCUUUAAUAACUAGUCCUGCAUAGUGAUUAGUACUGCUAAUUAUCCACCUGCCUUUCUGCUGAGAGCAUCUGCUACUACAUUAGCUUUACCAGGAUGGUAAAGGAUAGUGCAAUCAUAAUCCUUUACUAGCUCUAGCCAUCUCCUUUGCCUCAUAUUUAAUUCCUUUUGGGUGAAAAAAUACUUCAAACUCUUAUGAUCAGUAUAAAUGUCACACUUAUUUCCAUAUAAGUAAUGACG
Molecule: long non-coding RNA, 669 nt
Filed under: Olea europaea subsp. europaea
Lineage: Eukaryota; Viridiplantae; Streptophyta; Magnoliopsida; Lamiales; Oleaceae
Source: RNAcentral